This 1095-nucleotide long non-coding RNA is filed under the name Mytilus galloprovincialis (Mediterranean mussel). Lineage: Eukaryota; Metazoa; Mollusca; Bivalvia; Mytilida; Mytilidae. The record is from RNAcentral.
AAAUUUGUGGUCUAAACAAUUUUUUUACUAUUCCUUUUCAAUUGCAUAUAGAUUAUGACCUUUAUGUUUUCCUUGCCUUUGUGUAACAGCUUAAAAUAAGCAAUCAUGUCAGAUGAUACCUUUUGGUAAAAACAAAUUUGCAGAUCUUCAGAAAACAAAAUAAAAUAAUCAAUGUCUUAUAAAGUUAAUAUGAAAGAGACAGAUUCUUAAACCAGAAAGGACAUUUAUUAACUCAAUAUUUAUUUUGAAUCAUUCUCAAUGUAUAUACCAUUUGGAACACAGGCUGAAAUAUUUCUAAUGAAAAAGUAAUGUUUUUAUUAUGAAAUGUACAAAACAGGUUAAUUUUCUGUUUUUUUAGAGUGCUAUUGAAAUAGGAAUUAUUUUCUAUUGAAAAUAGUAACAAACUUUAAUCAAAUAGCAUCAUACAUACAUACAUAUUGCCUGAAAUGUUUACUUCUGUAAAUUCAGAAAUUACUGAGUGCAUCUAUUAUUGCAAACAGUUUAUUACUGGUGAAAAUGCAAGAUCUGAUCCAAUUAAAAAACUUCUUAGAAGGAAAAACGCUAAGAUAUUAAUAAUAAAUGCUAAUUUUUAUUAUUGCAAACCUGUGUUGUUGCACUUUUUGGAUUAAUAUAAACAUUGCAAUAAUUCCUGAAGUUUCAGUAUUUUCAGAAGAUUACCCUUUUCAAAGAAAGUAAUUCCUCUGAAGCCUCCCUUAUAAUUUGUAACAGUCCCAAAUGUGUUGUCGUUAUUUCACAACAUGUAUAAUAAAAGAAUGCAAAAUUUUGUCAACUUAUCAUCAUUUCAAGGCAAUAUAAUCCACGCAAAUCAAAACUGCAAUGUUUUAUCGAAGUGCAUAGAUCCAAUGUUUAAGUGUAAAAAUUUUAUAAAUUUUUGAAAUUCAUUUAAUUUUAUAGACCAUUUGACCCCAAAUCUUCUUUAUGCAUCUUGUGAUUGGUUUGGGGUCCAAAAAUAAUAAUAAAAAGGUAAAUUGAAUUUACUGGUUUUUGAUUGGUUAUCAUUCUACUUAUGUGCAAUUAUCAUUUAAUAGUGAUAUAUUUAUACUUGAUGUUAUUAUAAUAAAAUGUUUAUUUGAA